RNAcentral lists this ribosomal RNA (336 nucleotides) under uncultured bacterium. RNAcentral describes it as "bacterial SSU rRNA". It matches the Rfam family "Bacterial small subunit ribosomal RNA", at positions 775 to 1104 of the family's 1533-position model. The record is from RNAcentral.
AGUCAAUAGAUACCCAGGUAGUCCAUGCCGUAAACGAUGAUUGCUAGGUGUGGGGGGUCUGACCCCUUCCGUGCCGGAGUUAAACACAAUAAGCAAUCCACCUGGGGAGUACGGCCGCAAGGUUGAAACUCAAAGGAAUUGACGGGGGCCCGCACAAGCAGUGGAGUAUGUGGUUUAAAUUCGAAGCAACGCGAAGAACCUUACCAGGUCUUGACAUCCACCGAAUCCUGUAGAGAUACGGGAGUGCCCUUCGGGGAACGGUGAGACAGGUGGUGCAUGGUUGUCGUCAGCUCGUGUCGUGAGAUGUUGGGUUAAGUCCCGCAACGAGCGCAACCC